Long non-coding RNA from Strigops habroptila (Kakapo), 143 nucleotides. RefSeq lists it as uncharacterized. NCBI's taxonomy places the organism in Eukaryota, Metazoa, Chordata, Aves, Psittaciformes, Psittacidae. The record is from RefSeq and is a predicted model, not a curated record. The transcript is spliced from 4 exons.
CCUGGACUUCAAGAGAGCGGACUUUGGCCUCUUCAGGAACCUGCUCAGUAAGGUUCCAUGGGAUAAAGCCCCAGAGGGCAAGGGGGCCCAAGAUUGCUUGUUGAUAUUCAAGGCCCACUUGCUGCAAGCUCAGGAGCCGUGUA